GAGACCUCAGGUCAGGCGGGGCUAAUCACUAGUGAAUUCGCGGCCGCCUGCAGGUCGACCAUAUGGGAGAG
This 71-nucleotide ribosomal RNA is filed under the name Lathyrus pannonicus subsp. asphodeloides. RNAcentral describes it as "partial 25S ribosomal RNA". Lineage: Eukaryota; Viridiplantae; Streptophyta; Magnoliopsida; Fabales; Fabaceae. The record is from RNAcentral.